Molecule: ribosomal RNA, 526 nt
Filed under: uncultured eukaryote
Lineage: Eukaryota
Description: SSU rRNA
Rfam family: Eukaryotic small subunit ribosomal RNA
Source: RNAcentral
AGUCAUAUGCUUGUCUCAAAGAUUAAGCCAUGCAUGUAUAAGUACAAGCCUCACUAAGGUGAAACCGCGAAUGGCUCAUUAAAUCACACCUAAUCUACUGGAUUGUUAAACGUUACUUGGAUAACUGAGGUAAUUCUUGAGCUAAUACAUGCGAAAAAUCCCAACUCACGAAGGGAUGCUUUUAUUAGAUCAAAACCAAACGGCUUCGGCUGUAACACUGGUGACUCUGGAUAACUUUGGGCUGAUUGCAUUGCCUAGUGCAGGCAACAUUUCCUUCGAAGGUGUGCCCUAUCAACUGUCGACUGUGAUAUAGACGCUCACAGUGGUUUUGACGGGUAACGGGGAAUCAGGGUUCGAUUCCGGAGAGGGAGCCUUAAAAACGGCUACCACAUCCAAGGAAGGCAGCAGGCACGCAAAUUACCCAAUGGCCGAAGGCCGAGGUAGUGACGAAAAAUAACAAUACUGGACUCUUCCGAGGCCCAGUAAUUGGAAUGAGUACACUUUAAAACUUUUCCCGAGGAUCUAU